UGGGGAAUAUUGGACAAUGGGCGCAAGCCUGAUCCAGCCAUGCCGCGUGAGUGAUGAAGGCCCUAGGGUUGUAAAGCUCUUUUGUCCGGGACGAUAAUGACGGUACCGGAAGAAUAAGCCCCGGCUAACUUCGUGCCAGCAGCCGCGGUAAUACGAAGGGGGCUAGCGUUGCUCGGAAUCACUGGGCGUAAAGGGCGCGUAGGCGGACGUUUAAGUCAGGGGUGAAAUCCCGGGGCUCAACCUCGGAAUUGCCUUUGAUACUGGAUGUCUCGAGACCGGAAGAGGUAAGUGGAACUGCGAGUGUAGAGGUGAAAUUCGUAGAUAUUCGCAAGAACACCAGUGGCGAAGGCGGCUUACUGGUCCGGUUCUGACGCUGAGGCGCGAAAGCGUGGGGAGCAAACAGG
RNAcentral lists this ribosomal RNA (404 nucleotides) under uncultured bacterium. RNAcentral describes it as "bacterial SSU rRNA". It matches the Rfam family "Bacterial small subunit ribosomal RNA", at positions 355 to 776 of the family's 1533-position model. RNAcentral also lists the same sequence under 2 other names. The record is from RNAcentral.